GGUUAAGCGACCAAGCGUACACGGUGGAUGCCCUGGCAGUCAGAGGCGAUGAAGGACGUGCUAAUCUGCGAAAAGCGCCGGUAAGGUGAUAUGAACCGUUAUAACCGGCGAUGUCCGAAUGGGGAAACCCAGUGUGACUCGUCACACUAUCAUUAACUGAAUCCAUAGGUUAAUGAGGCGAACCGGGGGAACUGAAACAUCUAAGUACCCCGAGGAAAAGAAAUCAACCGAGAUUCCCCCAGUAGCGGCGAGCGAACGGGGAGGAGCCCAGAGCCUGAAUCAGCAUGUGUGUUAGUGGAAGCGUCUGGAAAGGCGCGCGAUACAGGGUGAGAGCCCCGUACACAAAAGCGCAUAUGCUGUGAGCUCGAUGAGUAGGGCGGGACACGUGGUAUCCUGUCUGAAUAUGGGGGGACCAUCCUCCAAGGCUAAAUACUCCUGACUGACCGAUAGUGAACCAGUACCGUGAGGGAAAGGCGAAAAGAACCCCGGCGAGGGGAGUGAAACAGAACCUGAAACCGUGUACGUACAAGCAGUGGGAGCCUCUCUUUAUGGGGGGUGACUGCGUACCUUUUGUAUAAUGGGUCAGCGACUUAUAUUCUGUAGCAAGGUUAACCGCAUAGGGGAGCCGAAGGGAAACCGAGUCUUAACCGGGCGUUAAGUUGCAGGGUAUAGACCCGAAACCCGGUGAUCUAGCCAUGGGCAGGUUGAAGGUUGGGUAACACUAACUGGAGGACCGAACCGACUAAUGUUGAAAAAUUAGCGGAUGACCUGUGGCUGGGGGUGAAAGGCCAAUCAAACCGGGAGAUAGCUGGUUCUCCCCGAAAGCUAUUUAGGUAGCGCCUCGUGAACUCAUCUCCGGGGGUAGAGCACUGUUUCGGCUAGGGGGCCAUCCCGGCUUACCAACCCGAUGCAAACUGCGAAUACCGGAGAAUGUUAUCACGGGAGACACACGGCGGGUGCUAACGUCCGUCGUGAAGAGGGAAACAACCCAGACCGCCAGCUAAGGUCCCAAAGUCAUGGUUAAGUGGGAAACGAUGUGGGAAGGCCCAGACAGCCAGGAUGUUGGCUUAGAAGCAGCCAUCAUUUAAAGAAAGCGUAAUAGCUCACUGGUCGAGUCGGCCUGCGCGGAAGAUGUAACGGGGCUAAACCAUGCACCGAAGCUGCGGCAGCGACACUUUAGUGUUGUUGGGUAGGGGAGCGUUCUGUAAGCCGUUGAAGGUGUCCUGUGAGGGGUGCUGGAGGUAUCAGAAGUGCGAAUGCUGACAUAAGUAACGAUAAAGCGGGUGAAAAGCCCGCUCGCCGGAAGACCAAGGGUUCCUGUCCAACGUUAAUCGGGGCAGGGUGAGUCGACCCCUAAGGCGAGGCCGAAAGGCGUAGUCGAUGGGAAACGGGUUAAUAUUCCCGUACUUGGUGUUACUGCGAAGGGGGGACGGAGAAGGCUAUGUUGGCCGGGCGACGGUAGUCCCGGUUUAAGCGUGUAGGUGUGUGUUCCAGGCAAAUCCGGUUCACUUUAACACUGAGGCGUGAUGACGAGGCACCACGGUGCUGAAGCAACAAAUGCCCUGCUUCCAGGAAAAGCCUCUAAGCAUCAGGUAACAUCAAAUCGUACCCCAAACCGACACAGGUGGUCAGGUAGAGAAUACCAAGGCGCUUGAGAGAACUCGGGUGAAGGAACUAGGCAAAAUGGUGCCGUAACUUCGGGAGAAGGCACGCUGACACGUAGGUGAAGUGAUUUACUCACGGAGCUGAAGUCAGUCGAAGAUACCAGCUGGCUGCAACUGUUUAUUAAAAACACAGCACUGUGCAAACACGAAAGUGGACGUAUACGGUGUGACGCCUGCCCGGUGCCGGAAGGUUAAUUGAUGGGGUCAGCGCAAGCGAAGCUCCUGAUCGAAGCCCCGGUAAACGGCGGCCGUAACUAUAACGGUCCUAAGGUAGCGAAAUUCCUUGUCGGGUAAGUUCCGACCUGCACGAAUGGCGUAAUGAUGGCCAGGCUGUCUCCACCCGAGACUCAGUGAAAUUGAACUCGCUGUGAAGAUGCAGUGUACCCGCGGCAAGACGGAAAGACCCCGUGAACCUUUACUAUAGCUUGACACUGAACAUUGAGCCUUGAUGUGUAGGAUAGGUGGGAGGCUUUGAAGCGUGGACGCCAGUCUGCGUGGAGCCGACCUUGAAAUACCACCCUUUAAUGUUUGAUGUUCUAACGUGGACCCGUAAUCCGGGUUGCGGACAGUGUCUGGUGGGUAGUUUGACUGGGGCGGUCUCCUCCUAAAGAGUAACGGAGGAGCACGAAGGUUGGCUAAUCCUGGUCGGACAUCAGGAGGUUAGUGCAAUGGCAUAAGCCAGCUUGACUGCGAGCGUGACGGCGCGAGCAGGUGCGAAAGCAGGUCAUAGUGAUCCGGUGGUUCUGAAUGGAAGGGCCAUCGCUCAACGGAUAAAAGGUACUCCGGGGAUAACAGGCUGAUACCGCCCAAGAGUUCAUAUCGACGGCGGUGUUUGGCACCUCGAUGUCGGCUCAUCACAUCCUGGGGCUGAAGUAGGUCCCAAGGGUAUGGCUGUUCGCCAUUUAAAGUGGUACGCGAGCUGGGUUUAGAACGUCGUGAGACAGUUCGGUCCCUAUCUGCCGUGGGCGCUGGAGAAUUGAGGGGGGCUGCUCCUAGUACGAGAGGACCGGAGUGGACGCAUCACUGGUGUUCGGGUUGUCAUGCCAAUGGCACUGCCCGGUAGCUAAAUGCGGAAAAGAUAAGUGCUGAAAGCAUCUAAGCACGAAACUUGCCCCGAGAUGAGUUCUCCCUGAGACUUUGAGUCUCCUGAAGGAACGUUAAAGACGAUGACGUUGAUAGGCCGGGUGUGUAAGCGCAGCGAUGCGUUGAGCUAACCGGUACUAAUGAACCGUGAGGCUUAACCUU
Molecule: ribosomal RNA, 2909 nt
Filed under: Salmonella enterica
Lineage: Bacteria; Pseudomonadati; Pseudomonadota; Gammaproteobacteria; Enterobacterales; Enterobacteriaceae
Also listed under: 1 other name
Description: 23S ribosomal RNA
Rfam family: Bacterial large subunit ribosomal RNA
Source: RNAcentral